UGGGGAAUAUUGGGCAAUGGGCGCAAGCCUGACCCAGCAACGCCGCGUGAAGGAAGAAGGCUUUCGGGUUGUAAACUUCUUUUGUCAGGGAAGAGCAGAAGACGGUACCUGACGAAUAAGCCACGGCUAACUACGUGCCAGCAGCCGCGGUAAUACGUAGGUGGCAAGCGUUGUCCGGAUUUACUGGGUGUAAAGGGCGUGUAGGCGGGAUUGCAAGUCAGAUGUGAAAUUCCGGGGCUCAACCCCGGAACUGCAUUUGAAACUGUAGUUCUUGAGUACUGGAGAGGCAGGCGGAAUUCCUAGUGUAGCGGUGAAAUGCGUAGAUAUUAGGAGGAACACCAGUGGCGAAGGCGGCCUGCUGGACAGCAACUGACGCUGAGGCGCGAAAGCGUGGGGAGCAAACA
This 404-nucleotide ribosomal RNA is filed under the name uncultured bacterium. RNAcentral's name for it is "bacterial SSU rRNA". It matches the Rfam family "Bacterial small subunit ribosomal RNA", at positions 355 to 774 of the family's 1533-position model. The record is from RNAcentral.